CCUGAUUGCCUUGCAAGAAGGAAGAGGUUUUAAAAGUUUUCAAAGCUAACAGACUCACCAUGGACAUUGGUACAUGCUGGUUAACUGUAUUGACUUGGAUUUACAAAGCAGCAUUGAGUCGUUGCAAAAGAGCCCAUGUGGUCUGCAAAUUCUAUACCAUUUACUGCCUGGCCUUUACAGCAUAUGUUUGCCAACCCCUGCUGCAGAGGAAUCAAGAGAUGCUGAGAAUAAAACCCUAUUAUGAAGAGAGGAAAGAACUGAAGUGACAAAGAAAGAUUGUUUUGAAAUUAGGAAGAAAUCUCAUGGAAUGAUAUUAUAAAAGGCAAAAGGAGGAGUUUCAAGAAAGAAGUCUCAAGUCAAUUGAGAGGAAAGCUGAAAGAGAAGUCACUGAAUUUAGAAGUUAGGUUAUGAGUGAUUCAGAGCACUUUGGAGGAGAUGGUAGUGGUUUAAGAGGUCAGAUCUCAGUGGGUUGAAGUUCAGAAGAGGAAAUCGAUAAGCAAACUACUCUCAAAGAACUCUGGUGGGAAAGGAAAGGCAUGAGAGGUGGUGGUGGAAUGCAGCAGGACGGGAAGAUGUCAAUGAAGACAUUGAACAUGCAGAUGUACCCACAGGUGGGAGAGGAGCUGGAGAGUAGAGGUAGCUUGGAGUAAGAUUCCUUCUAUCCUGGAAAGAGAAGACUGUAAAAACAACAGAAGAAAUUAGCCUUG
This 707-nucleotide non-coding RNA is filed under the name Pan troglodytes (chimpanzee). The record is from RNAcentral. Lineage: Eukaryota; Metazoa; Chordata; Mammalia; Primates; Hominidae.